AACGGAAGAGGCAAGCGUUAUCCGGAGUGACUGGGCGUAAAGAGCGUGUAGGCGGUUCUACAAGUGGGUUGUGAAAUCGGUCGGCUCAACUGCGGGAGGGCAAUUCAGACUGGAGGGCUGGAGGACGGCAGAGGAGUGUGGAAUUCCGGGUGUAGCGGUGAAAUGUGUAGAUAUUCGGAGGAACACCGGAGGUGAAGACGGCGCUCUGGGCCGUUCCUGACGCUGAGACGCGAAAGCGUGGGGAGCAAACGGG
This 253-nucleotide ribosomal RNA is filed under the name uncultured bacterium. Its description in RNAcentral is "partial 16S ribosomal RNA". It matches the Rfam family "Bacterial small subunit ribosomal RNA", at positions 524 to 776 of the family's 1533-position model. The record is from RNAcentral.